RNAcentral lists this RNase P RNA (317 nucleotides) under Candidatus Woesearchaeota archaeon CG08_land_8_20_14_0_20_43_7. RNAcentral describes it as "RNase P RNA component". It matches the Rfam family "Archaeal RNase P". From Rfam's summary of the family: Ribonuclease P (RNase P) is a ubiquitous endoribonuclease, found in archaea, bacteria and eukarya as well as chloroplasts and mitochondria. Its best characterised activity is the generation of mature 5'-ends of tRNAs by cleaving the 5'-leader elements of precursor-tRNAs. Cellular RNase Ps are ribonucleoproteins. Lineage: Archaea; Nanobdellati; Candidatus Woesearchaeota. RNAcentral also lists the same sequence under 1 other name. The record is from RNAcentral.
GGUAGUGGAGUCACAGGGCUGACGGUGCCUUUAUUGGUGCUGAGGAAAGUCCGCCCUCUAUUCAAAAGGCAGCUGUUCGAAAGUCAGAUGGAGAAAUCCAUGGCAACCACUCAGAAACGACACGGCCCUAUCAUAGGAUGACGCGCGCGAAGUCUUAGGUGACUAAGAUGAGAUAACCCGCAGACGUUUUUUAGGGAUACGAUGAAACGGUGAGCCCCUGCUUGAGCAAGGCCAUUAUGGCCGCUUAGUCGAAUGUCCUGAAGAUCUGCCCGCGUAACUGACGGAGAUCCACAGAAGGUGGCUUAUGGCUCCCUACC